Molecule: ribosomal RNA, 1239 nt
Filed under: Ithyoclinostomum yamagutii
Lineage: Eukaryota; Metazoa; Platyhelminthes; Trematoda; Strigeidida; Clinostomidae
Description: partial large subunit ribosomal RNA
Rfam family: Eukaryotic large subunit ribosomal RNA
Source: RNAcentral
GAGUGAAGAGGGAUUAGCCCAGCACCGAAGCCUGUGGUCAUUUGACUGCUAGGCAAUGUGGUGUUUAGGUUGGUUCUUGGCAUUACUGCUCCACCCUAAGUCCAGCAAUGAGUACGGCUUACUGGAUUGGCCCAUUGAGGGUGAAAGGCCCGUGUGGGUGGAGAACAGAACAUCAGUUUUGCCCUGAAUUAACCUUGGAGUCGGGUUGUUUGAGAAUGCAGCCCAAAGUGGGUGGUAAACUCCAUCCAAGGCUAAAUACUGGCACGAGUCCGAUAGCGAACAAGUACCGUGAGGGAAAGUUGAAAAGUACUUUGAAGAGAGAGUAAAAAGUUCGUGAACCCGCUCAGAGGUAAACGGGUGGAGUUGAACUAGAAGCCCUGGGGAUUCAGCUGGUGAGUAUGGCAUGAGCUUGGACAUAUUGGUCGGCUUUCAGAGUCCGCUUAGCUGCGGGUCCUUUCCUUAACCGGUUUGGAUGUGCGUUACGCUUAUUAAGCGUUGUGCGCUCUGAUUGUUCCGGGCCUGCUCGCUAGUGCACUUCCUCAGGGUGUUCACCACGACCGUCGCUGCUGUCUGUCUGUUGUGGUUAAACCGGUCAGGUAUAGUCAUUUUGGCUAUGUUUGGUCGGGAUGGCAGGUAGCUCUUGGGUUCUUCUGGCUUCAGUCAGUUGGGCCUAUGGGUGUAAUAAGCCGACUACAAUGGAUCUGUGCAGUGCGUCGGAGCUGGCGGCUUUGGUGUGUGUAUGCGUGCUGUACCUUGCUGGCUUGGUCAGGUCUGAUCGAUGUGUUACCUGCUUCGGUGGGUCUAUCGUUGGCUUGGCUUUGCGUGGUGAGUGGCUGCGCGUACGACACUAGCUAGGGCCUAAAGUCUGUGGUGUUGUGGUAAACGAUCCACCUGACCCGUCUUGAAACACGGACCAAGGAGUUUAACAUGUACGCGAGUCAUUGGGCGUUACGAAACCCAAAGGCGAAGUGAAAGUAAAGGUUCGGCUUGUCCGAGCUGAGGUGAGAUCCUGCUGUUCCUCUGCCUGGAACUACCAAGCACUCGAGCAGUAGGCGCAUCACUGGCCCGUCUCAUGAUGUAGUCAUAUGACCUAUGGUUUUGUGCACCUUCGGGGCGGAGCUUGAGCGUACACGUUGAGACCCGAAAGAUGGUGAACUAUGCCUGCGGAGGUUGAAGCCAGAGGAAACUCUGGUGGAGGACCGCAGCGAUUCUGACGCGCAAAUCGAUCGUCUAACGUGG